CGGUAAUACGUAGGGCGCAAGCGUUGUCCGGAAUUAUUGGGCGUAAAGAGCUCGUAGGCGGUUUGUCGCGUCUGCUGUGAAAGCCCGGGGCUUAACCCCGGGUGUGCAGUGGGUACGGGCAGACUUGAGUGCAGUAGGGGAGACUGGAACUCCUGGUGUAGCGGUGAAAUGCGCAGAUAUCAGGAAGAACACCGAUGGCGAAGGCAGGUCUCUGGGCUGUUACUGACGCUGAGGAGCGAAAGCAUGGGGAGCGAACAGGAUUAGAUACCCUGGUAGUCCAUGCCGUAAACGUUGGGCACUAGGUGUGGGGGACAUUCCACGUUUUCCGCGCCGUAGCUAACGCAUUAAGUGCCCCGCCUGGGGAGUACGGCCGCAAGGCUAAAACUCAAAGGAAUUGACGGGGGCCCGCACAAGCGGCGGAGCAUGCGGAUUAAUUCGAUGCAACGCGAAGAACCUUACCAAGGCUUGACAUACACCGGAUCGGCUCAGAGAUGGGUUUUCCUCCUUGUGGGGCUGGUGUACAGGUGGUGCAUGGUUGUCGUCAGCUCGUGUCGUGAGAUGUUGGGUUAAGUCCCGCAACGAGCGCAACCCUCGUUCUAUGUUGCCAGCACGUGAUGGUGGGGACUCAUAGGAGACUGCCGGGGUCAACUCGGAGGAAGGUGGGGAUGACGUCAAAUCAUCAUGCCCCUUAUGUCUUGGGCUUCACGCAUGCUACAAUGGCCAGUACAAUGGGUUGCGAUACCGUGAGGUGGAGCUAAUCCCAAAAAGCUGGUCUCAGUUCGGAUCGUGGUCUGCAACUCGACCACGUGAAGUCGGAGUCGCUAGUAAUCGCAGAUCAGCAACGCUGCGGUGAAUACGUUCCCGGG
This 866-nucleotide ribosomal RNA is filed under the name uncultured bacterium. Its description in RNAcentral is "bacterial SSU rRNA". It matches the Rfam family "Bacterial small subunit ribosomal RNA", at positions 518 to 1378 of the family's 1533-position model. The record is from RNAcentral.